This 252-nucleotide ribosomal RNA is filed under the name uncultured bacterium. Its description in RNAcentral is "partial 16S ribosomal RNA". The stretch from base 6 to 225 matches the Rfam family "Bacterial small subunit ribosomal RNA", at positions 981 to 1205 of the family's 1533-position model. The record is from RNAcentral.
AAGGCUUGACAUGUUCGGCAAAACUAGAGAAACCUAGCGGAGGUUAUCCGAACACAGGUGCUGCAUGGCCGUCGUCAGUUCGUGCCGUGAGGUGUAUGGUUAACGUCCUAUAACGAACGCAACCCUUAGACUUAGUUACCAGCAUUAAGUUGGGGACUCUAGGUCGACUGCCUGAGUAAUCAGGAAGGAAGGAGAGGAUGACGUCUGGUCGUCAUCGGCCCUUAUCGUCCCGUUUGGGGCCGACACACGUGA